UACAGAGGGUGCAAGCGUUGUUCGGAAUUAUUGGGCGUAAAGCGCGUGUAGGCGGCUUGGCAAGUCGGGUGUGAAAGCCCUCAGCUCAACUGAGGAAGUGCGCCCGAAACUGCUGAGCUUGAGUACCGGAGAGGAUGGCGGAAUUCCCCAAGUAGAGGUGAAAUUCGUAGAUAUGGGGAGGAACACCGGUGGCGAAGGCGGCCAUCUGGACGGUCACUGACGCUGAGACGCGAAAGCGUGGGGAGCAAACAGG
RNAcentral lists this ribosomal RNA (253 nucleotides) under uncultured bacterium. Its description in RNAcentral is "partial 16S ribosomal RNA". It matches the Rfam family "Bacterial small subunit ribosomal RNA", at positions 524 to 776 of the family's 1533-position model. The record is from RNAcentral.